AAGGUGGUACUCCAUUUCAAGUUGUUUCUUUCCAGCUGCAUAUUAGAAAAGAUAAACCUUUUUGGGGGUUUGGUUUGUCGUCAAGUUCAAAUAUGUUUGACACAUUUAAUUCCAGUAACAUUUGGGUGUCUAUUUUUUAAUUAGUUGUUUCGAUUGUUUUGUAUAUCAACCUUAACAUUGCAUGUGACUACCCCGUUGCAUAUAGAGCCUCAAAGACUUAAGUAUAGCAGUGAUGCCAAAAAAAGCAACUGCGUAUGAUCAUAUGAUGUGCGUUUAUAUAUAUCUCAAUUGUUUACUAACACAGUAGUAUAGUCUUUAUCCUCAUCCGUAUACAUUUCAGUUGUAGUUUUCUAAUUAGUUUGAAUAUAAACCUGCUAAUUAAGUCUGAAGACCUGGUCAGUUUUACAAAGAUACACGUGUGCUGCCGGCAUGGAAUUAGUCUAAUAAAAAAAAAAUAUUUUGAAAUCAGUGAAUUGGAAUUCCUUUGUUACCUGAAGAUUGUGUGAAACAUCAAAAACUGUAUUUUUGUAUGUUUGUGUAUGCUUUAUCAAAAGGUGCAAAUGAUGAUAAGUGUGCAUUGUUAACUAGGACAGUACAUACAUUAACAAAACUUGGUUCAGGUAUGUUUGAUUAUGCAUGAGAUAAAUAUGUUUUCUUCCUGCAUCAAAUUAAUAUUAAUUCACUGAUGAUAACAAUGAUAAAUUAUGAUUUAUUCUAUUUUUUCAAUUUUACAUCCUUCCAAGAUUUCAACUAUAUAUCAAUGUUCCUUGCUAAUAUAUUUUUAAAAUGCAACUUUUUUUUUAUUAUGAAACUAUAACUAUAAAACAUAAUUUGGAUUUUAUUAAUGACUAGGCGAGUUUUAAAUUAUUUUUAAUAUUUAUUGUUUGAAUGCAGAAACUAUUACAAUUCUUUAGAAGGAAGUUUGCUAAUUGCGUUUUGGUUUCUGUGUGCUCUUUUCUAUAUUGAUGCAAAGCCCGCUAUAUUUUGGCAGUAUUUUUUUACACCCAGAAGAAAGCCUACAUGAGUCAUUCCUUUAUUAUAAAUUUUCACUAAUUGGAUUGAUUAUAAUUGACAUUUUCACAACAAAGACGUAUAUCCUUCUGUUACCAUAGACUACAGUUACAGAUAUCUUGAUAUGACGUGUAAGCACAUGCAGGAAUCAUUAAUGAUUGCGUAAUAAUUCUGCAUCAAUGAAAUAUUUUAUCUGCUUUAAAAAUACCAAAAGGUCAAUUCCAUUGCGUCUACUUCGGACAAUAGAACGCAACGAAACACUUGAAACCAUGUACACACUAAACCAUCAUUUGCAGAAUGUUUGAAAUUAAUCAAGUUAGUUGAUUGAUGUACACGAGUUUGAAUCAAAUAUGUUUUUAAUUCUUUGGUUUGUUUCAAAGUUGAUUUGUAACGAUUUGAUUUCUACACCUUAAACAAAUGAAAAUACAGGUUAAUUAAAUGACAUCUAGACUAAACUACACACGAAAGGCUGAUAGAAAUAAGCGAGUCCAUUCAUCUUAAAUUGUUUAUUUAAGACUUUUUAUAAAUUUGAUAUACGUUUUUAGUAUGUUAUAAAUCGUUAUAGAUAUGAAAAUUGAUUUUAAUCGGGAAACACAAAUUUCACAGGAAAUGUUCUUUUAGUUAGGGCCCGCCUAAUGGCAGGUCGCCCCAAUAGUGAUCAAUCUGUCCGUCUGUCCGUGUCAAUUUGUGUCCGCUCUUAAUCUAGAGAAUCGUUAUAAUUUAUACUUUAUACUUGACAUGUAUAUUAACCAACACCAGAGGGUGUGUCGACUCAUAAAGUUCAAGGUAAACAACUUUCAGUUGACAACCCCAUGUCCUAUGGUAAAGACCGUGUCCGCUCUAUAUCUUGAGACCCGUUAUGAUUUUAAAGUUAACACUUGACCUUUAUAUUAACCAACACUGACUAGAGGGUGUGUCAUAAUGUGUGUACAGCUUCCUAUGUGUAAGAUUCGUCAGGCUGUCUGUCGGUUCUUUCGUUACAACCAUAAGUCCAAAAAAAAAAAAAGAAAACAACAGCAGUCACAGUUUAGCAUAAAAUAAAUAUGAAAUAAAAAUGAAGACAAUUUUAAUUUAUUUGAUACCAUACCACGACGGGUUCAUUCAUUUUUUUUUCUCUGUCAGAACUUUCAUGUGCAUGAUCAUGUGAUGUUCCUACAGUACUGAAGCCUUAAAUGUUGCUGUUAUAACAUCAUUAAAAAAUAAGGAAAUGUGAAUUGAUUGUCAUUAAAAUAGCUUUAUCCAUAAAGACAAAAAAGAGCGAUGUGGAGAAUUGCAGGUCACCAAUAAUGAGCACAAUUAAUGCUUUAUGUAAGGUAUAAAUUGUUUGGAAUACUAGUAAAACUCCUUUGAAUUAUGCGUUAUUUUUUUAUGACUUACAGAUCUAUAUCAUUUCAGAAACAAACCACGUGCAAAGACAUGAAGGGGAUCUAUCAUAAAGCAAUGCAACUCCAUGGUCACGUGUUCGUCAUCUUUACAUAUGAGGAACAUCACUAAAAUGUGAGAUAUAUUUUUAAAUAAAAUAAUUAUUGUCGAUACUUUUUCAUCAUAAAAUAUUUGGUAGGAAAGUAU
RNAcentral lists this long non-coding RNA (2580 nucleotides) under Mytilus galloprovincialis (Mediterranean mussel). The record is from RNAcentral. Lineage: Eukaryota; Metazoa; Mollusca; Bivalvia; Mytilida; Mytilidae.